This 468-nucleotide ribosomal RNA is filed under the name uncultured bacterium. RNAcentral's name for it is "partial 16S ribosomal RNA". It matches the Rfam family "Bacterial small subunit ribosomal RNA", at positions 28 to 507 of the family's 1533-position model. The record is from RNAcentral.
GACGAACGCUGGCGGCGUGCUUAACACAUGCAAGUCGAACGGAAAGGCCCUGCUUUUGUGGGGUGCUCGAGUGGCGAACGGGUGAGUAACACGUGAGUAACCUGCCCUUGACUUUGGGAUAACUUCAGGAAACUGGAGCUAAUACCGGAUAGGAGCUCCUGCUGCAUGGUGGGGGGUGGAAAGUUUCGGCGGUUGGGGAUGGACUCGCGGCUUAUCAGCUUGUUGGUGGGGUAGUGGCUUACCAAGGCUUUGACGGGUAGCCGGCCUGAGAGGGUGACCGGCCACAUUGGGACUGCGGUACGGCCCAGACUCCUACGGGAGGCAGCAGUGGGGAAUAUUGCACAAUGGGCGGAAGCCUGAUGCAGCAACGCCGCGUGCGGGAUGACGGCCUUCGGGUUGUAAACCGCUUUCGCCUGUGACGAAGCGUGAGUGACGGUAAUGGGUAAAGAAGCACCGGCUAACUACGUG